AGCUUUUCUGAACUAGAAGUGUCUGAUGAGAUUUCCUUUAUUUUAUGGCUUAAACUGAAUCCUCGGUGCACCAGGGAGAAAGAAUGAUGGAAAAUUUUAAUGUUUUGCUAGUGAUCCUGUGGUUUCAGUUUAUCUGGGUGAGCAGCCAGCAGAAGGAGGUGGAACAGAGUCCUGAGUCCCUCAGUGUCGCAGAAAGAGCCAUCGCCUCUCUCAACUGCACUUAUAGGGUCAGCAGUUCUCAGUAUAUUGGGUGGUACCGACAGCAUCCUGGGAAAGGUCUGGAGUUUCUCAUGUCUGUAUACUCCAAUGGUGACCAAGAAGAAGGAAGAUUCAGAGCACAUCUCAACAGAGCCAACCGCUAUGUUUCCCUGCACAUUAGAGACUCCCAGUCCCUUGACUCAAGGGUCUGGGCAAAGGCAAAGCAUGAACUCGAACUGCAGGUCCGGCAGCUGCUGGAGCACUUGCUCACUUGGCGCAGUGUGCGCAGGGCUUAG
Molecule: non-coding RNA, 494 nt
Organism: Chinchilla lanigera (long-tailed chinchilla)
Lineage: Eukaryota; Metazoa; Chordata; Mammalia; Rodentia; Chinchillidae
Source: the annotation of a RefSeq genome assembly